GACGAACGCUGGCGGCGUGCCUAAUACAUGCAAGUUGAGCGAUGAAGAUUGGUGCUUGCACCAAUUUGAAGAGCAGCGAACGGGUGAGUAACGCGUGGGGAAUCUGCCUUUGAGCGGGGGACAACAUUUGGAAACGAAUGCUAAUACCGCAUAACAACUUUAAACAUAAGUUUUAAGUUUGAAAGAUGCAAUUGCAUCACUCAAAGAUGAUCCCGCGUUGUAUUAGCUAGUUGGUGAGGUAAAGGCUCACCAAGGCGAUGAUACAUAGCCGACCUGAGAGGAUGAUCGGCCAGACUGGGACUGUGACACGGCCCAUACUCCUACGGGAGGCAGCAGUAGGGAAUCGUCGGCAAUGGAUGAAAGUCUGACCGAGCAACGCCGCGUGAGUGAAGAAGGUCUUCGGAUCGUAAAACUCUGUUGGUAGAGAAGAACGUUGGUGAGAGUGGAAAGCACAUCAAGUGACGGUAACUACCCAGAAAGGGACGGCUAACUACGUG
RNAcentral lists this ribosomal RNA (497 nucleotides) under uncultured bacterium. Its description in RNAcentral is "partial 16S ribosomal RNA". It matches the Rfam family "Bacterial small subunit ribosomal RNA", at positions 28 to 507 of the family's 1533-position model. The record is from RNAcentral.